GGAAUCGGGACCAUACGUGGCUGUAUACCCUGGGACAAGAAGCCAAGAAACAUGCCAAAACAGCAGAGCCAGUGGGAAAAAAGCUCUGUGGGCUGAGUUGGGCAAACAGAGAUGCCAUGACACACUGCAGAAGCCGCUGGCAGUGGGAUGAAUCUGUGCACCAGCAAUGAGCAGUAUCUACUCCAUCUGGCUUGGGCUCCACAUCCUCCCAGAAGACUUCCUUUUGAACAGGGAGAUUCCAGUCACGGUGACUCCACCAGUAAAAGAGGUAGCCUCCCAGAUUUGCUUAUCUCAAACUUCUUGAAAGCACCCCUAACUUCCUUGGCAGCAGUAGCCAAACAAGAGCUGUAAAAUACUGUUUUCCCUGGUCUGGUGGAACUCGCAACUCAGCAUAUGUGGUGAGGAGCUCCCAAAAUAGCUCUCGGUUGCCUCACCAGCCUCAGAAGCAACUUGAAAAGUCUUUUGUCUUCUGGGACAACUUACAGAAGUUUUAAAAUGUUUGAACUUAUUUUGAAAGUACUCUGAAAGAUAAGAAUGAUCUAUUCCAAGGCCAGGUGAACUGAAGGUCACAGUUAAGGCAUUGCACAACACAACCAAGUAGGUUCAGCACAAAACUCACACAGAAUUUGAUCAGCUCAUCAGUGCUGCUGCUGCCCUUGCCUAAAUUCAGGUCAAAGCUGAGGCCCUUUGACCUGGCACCCUGCUGGGCCAAACGCUCUCAUCUUUUAUGCCAAAUACCAGUGGGGCAAUGCUAAAGAGGCAGAGGACAUGGGUCCUUUCGUGACAGAGCCUUGUUGGACAAGCCUUCAGAAAAGAAGCCAAGCAAAACAGCUCAGUUUCUGAGGAGAAGCUGUAGUUGCUGCAGGACAAGUGUGCUCUCGCUCUGGGAAGGCUAACAUGCACUUCAUCCUGGUCAAAGGCUAUUCUCUGACUGGAUCUUGUAAUAUUUCAGGCUAUCUCUAUUUAGGACAAAGCCUGAAUAGCUUUUGCUAUUGUUAAACAAGGGAUAUCCCCAAUCUGCUCUUUAUGGCUGCACUACUUCAGCACAGCAUUCCUGCGGGCUCUGCAGGGACAACAUGGAGGCUGUCCCCCUGGAGUCAUCUGAAACCCUUCCCUGCUGUGAGGAAAGGCUCCUCUUUCUUGAAAAUAUAAUUUGCUCUUGAAAAACAACUCCAAAACCCCAUAUACAUCUGGGGCUUCCCAUCAGGGUGGGAGAAGAGCUUUUUUUCCCCACAUCUCAUGUUUCUGAGCAUGCUCCCUAGUGCCUCGGCCAGAGCCCUCAGUAUAGCUUUUUGCCGAGUCAGGCUGCUGGUUUUCUUAUCCCAAAUCCCAGAUGGGUGGUUUUAAGUACUCCAGGCAUUUUUCAAAGACAGCUUGAAACCCAGCCAAGCCCACAGUGGAGGAGGAAGGGGUAGGGGUGGGUGUGUAACUCUUCUCCAACAGGUCUGCAGUUGGUCUGGUUGUCUCCCAGGUCAGGCGAGCUUGUCCACAGCUGCAGGGUGCAGCUGCCACCCCAGGGGACAACCCCACCCCGUCCCCAAAAUCAAGUGAACUUUGUGAUUUUUUUAGCAGCAGUAAAUGAUCCCACUGGGGGUUAUUUGACCACCAAAGCUAUGCUGGCUUGGCUGAAGGGUUGAAGUGCAGAGGCCCACGUCAAUACGCAUUUACAGAUACUACUGGAUGCAGGAUUGGGAGCCCCAGACCCCCCAGCACCCGCUCUCACCUGCUGCUUGGGAAUCACCCCUUCUCCAGUUCCUGUGUUUACAUGUCUGUCCAUGACACAAUGAAACGGAGGGAAGGCAAAUGUGCAAUGUAGAGAUCCAUUAUGCUUUAUUUACAUGCGUCACCAUCUCUUUUACAAACUAGAUUACAAUUUAAAAUGGAAUACACAAGGCAAUAUCUACUAACACCAAGUGGAGUAAGCACUGCGUCUCUACUUCGUUUGGAAAGGGGCAGGUUUUGCUCCAAAACAAACUUCCUUCCAACCUCUGAGUAGUAAGGUAAUAUAUUCCUCCAGGGCAGCAUCUUUUUUCUCUUUUUUUUUUUUUCUUUUUUUUUCUUUUUUUUAAAUAAAAAAUCCUCAGUAAGACUGCAACGUGAGAGUGUCUGCUUUCAAAUGAAAGUACAAGAUAGCCCAAAUGAAAAGUAUAAACUGUUCAGCUCUUCGGUAUGUAAAGACGGCCAUGCGCAAUAAGGCUGUGGAUUUAAUAUUCUUCCAAUUUACAUGGCUUGAAACAGAAACAGAUAAAACAGUUUUACAGAUACUGUAUACAUAUUUUUUCCAAUCAUGCAACUUUUUAAAAAAAAAGUUAAACAUGUGAAGCCAAAUGUACAAUCCAUUUUUUCCAACCCAUAGUAACGAAAUGUAUCUGGUCCCCCUGCGCAUCUGUUGGCAAUUCCAAAGGUAUAUUGUGUACUAGAAACACUUACAGGACAUCGAUUGCCAAGCAAUGACAUAAUUUUAGAGAAAUACAUAACCUAAAAGGUAACUUUUUUAAGCAGUGGCACAAAAAUUUCUGGAGUUCAACAGUGUUUAACUAUCCCAUUAUUCUCAAGAGAAAUUUUUUUUACAAAAUCAUUAAAUCAAGCCCCAAUCUGUGACUAGAAACUGCAUAAAUAACACCUUUUUAGACCUUUUGUUUAGACCAAGUGUCCAAAUGAUAACUACGUAAUUGUGACCAUGACCUUUAUCUGUUUUACACUAUUUCAUAAGAAAAACUUCUAGGCAUAAACAUGUUCAAAGACUCAAAGGCCAAAUUUUCAAAAGGUAGGUUCCCAAAAUUAGCGGUUCAAGUCUGUAUUUUGACACCUAAGUAAGUGGCCCUUUGAAUUCAGUGAGAUUUAUUUAGCACCUCUGGAGUGAAGGAACCUUGCUGGGCACCUCAGCAGGUGUAGAGGAUGAUGACUUUCCCCUCGGCCUGGGGGGACCUGUCACUUCCCCUUCCUUCAAGAAGUGACAAGGACAGAGCAGCUCAACCUCUGCGACCACACCAGAGUCCCCAGUGUUCAGUGCCUGAUACCAGGCACUUGUGCUGGAAAAGUUUGGCCCCAAAAAUGAGCAAAAGAAACCAAACCAAGGCCAAGUCCAACCCUCUUCAGCAAGUGCUGAGAUGUUCUCCAAAGCAGGGGCUCAAGGUGUUCCAGCCAUGCCAAUGGAAAUGCUCUCCUUGACAUUGCUGGGAGGCAAGUUAACCCUUUCAGCUGCUAAUGCUUUUAUUACUUUUUAAAAAAACUUCUCUGACAUUGAUGGGCUGCCUCUAAAUCAGGUGUUAUUUCUUCAUUUUCUGAACAGAGCAGGCCAUAGUUCUCUCUCUCAUUUCUGUCAGCAGGAGCCAGCUCCACUGAACUCCAGCAGGCUAGGCUGCCAGAACAGAGCAGAAGCUGCCCCUACUUGGUUCAAGCUAAUAGGCCUUCCCUUGCCUUUGACAAGAACUUAAUCUGUACCAAGACCAAACAAAAAUUGUGGGUUUUGGUCAGCUUGGCCAUACCAUCAAGUCAGGCCUUACUGGAUCUCUCAGUGACCUGGUUGGUGGGUCUUUGGGCAGGCACCUCGGGUCUUACCGGAGAGGAAUCAUGCAGGGAUCAAAUGCUGCACCCCAGCAUGGGGAGCCACAGAGUGAUCUCUCCUGGUGGCCAAAACCAUGGGGCCAGGGGACAAGUCCAGUCACAGGGUGGCAGCUGCAAAGAAGCCUCACGGAAAUAAGCACUAAAGGAGAGUCCUUCAGCAUACACUGACAUUUUGGGGUAUACUGGGAAGCUGAGAGCUAAUGGUACAUGCUCAGAGGAGGCCAGUGAUAGACCCUAGGCCAAUUUCAGUAAAAGGUGCCUGCAACUGGACUCCAAUAAGCCAGGCGCCCAGGUGUGCCACGCAAGCAUCCUGGGAGGCUGGCUUCUGAUAGAGAUGGGCAAUGAGCACCAGCCAACUCCAGUGAACACAAUAAACUAAGCCACAUUCUGACAAAUAGACCACCUCAGUGUAAAAAAGAGAAGUUUUUUUAAAAGGCAAAUGAUAAACCCUUGGCUGCUUGGAAGAGUUGAUAUGCUACAGGGCUAUGCUAACCACAACUGCACAGAGCCUACACAGUCAUAACUGUGGGGAGAAACCAAGAGGUGCAUCUUUAUGAGAGAACAGCGUGGAGGCUAUGGUACAAAAACAAAACUUCCAUCACACUAGGAGCUGUUGUUUCACCUGUUGUUUCACCUCGGGGACCUGGAAAGUGAGGAGUGAGGAAGGGCCCACAAAUGCGCGCAUGUGUGCAUGGCUGUGCAUGUGCGGUGGCAGUGGCGAGAGGGAGUCACUCCACAUUGCAUGGGACACGUGUCGGUGGGAACUCAUGCACUGAGACUUUGGGUUAAAAUGCUAGUUUGUUUUCCUAACAUCCAUGCAUAAUGAUCCAUUUCUGUACAUAAUAAAAUAUAUUUAUAUAUUUAUAUGCAUAAUGCUUUUAUGCAAAGGAAAAAAAAAAAAACUUCAUAUAUCGCUUUGGAGAAUUAUGUAUACACUGUCCUGUUCAGAACCUCUUCAUAUUGAGUUCCUAUGUACCACUGGUGUUUUCCCCUCUUUUUUUUGUAUCCCUUUCCCCCCAAGAUACUAAUAAAAAGUAAUCAAACUUUCCAGAUUAUAGAGAGGAUCUAUACAGCACCAUACCUUUUAUUCAUUAUUAUUAUUAUUAAUUAUUAUUCAUUUUAUAAAAGAAAAUCUUAGAAGCAAAAUAUAUAAAACUGCCUUGUCUUUCAGUGUCAUUUGUCUUGAUACAAUCUCUGCUCACAUGAAAAAGCCAUUUGUAUGAUACUGUCACAUUGCCAUUCCCACUCCUGCUUCUUCUGCCACAACGGAUUAUACAUAAUGAGAAGGAAAAAAUAA
Myiozetetes cayanensis is the source of this 4864-nucleotide long non-coding RNA. RefSeq lists it as uncharacterized. The transcript is spliced from 2 exons. Lineage: Eukaryota; Metazoa; Chordata; Aves; Passeriformes; Tyrannidae. The record is from RefSeq and is a predicted model, not a curated record.